RNAcentral lists this long non-coding RNA (6285 nucleotides) under Mytilus galloprovincialis (Mediterranean mussel). Lineage: Eukaryota; Metazoa; Mollusca; Bivalvia; Mytilida; Mytilidae. The record is from RNAcentral.
CACUUGUUGCAAAAUAGAUUCCUUCUUAUUUAAUGGAGGACAGAUGCAUCUUCUUUUGAUGUAACAGCUGUGUGGUAUGAUUGAAUCUUCAAUUAACUACAUGUAGAUGAAUAUUCAACAACAAUUGACCUUCAAAAUAUCACAUUGUCUGUUCCAUACUGAGAUUAAUAUUGACCUCUGACCUCUAUUGUUUAUCAUACAUCAGGUAAAUUAAUUAGAAAGGUGUACACAGUAAAUCUUAUAGUUUAUCAUAUAUGCAAUCAUCAUGCACUUGAUUACAUGUUUUAUGUAAUUAUUUUCUAGUCGCAAUAUGAUUGGUUUUCUGCAAAUUUCAAAUUCAAAUUGGAUACAAGUUUCCUCAAUAAUUGAUAAUCCUCUAGAAAAAGCGUUCAACAUCCACUAGAACUAUCAACAUCAUUAACUGAUGGUUUAUUGUUACAUACUUAUCAUGAUCUAUCAUCCUAUUCACAAAUAUACUGUAAUAUCAAAUUGUUGAUUACACAUAUUUUAAUCCGUUUUACAAAGGUAUAUUGACUAAUCCAAUAAUAAUCGAAAUCAAUAUUGCCUGUGAAUGACUGACAUAAAAACAAAUACACAAGAGGACUGUCACAUUGAGAAACAAUGUCACCUGACAUAAAUAUAUCUUGUGUAAAAAUUUGUAGCCUUCAGGUGUUUUCUAUUUCUCAACAAAAUAUGAAGAAAAAUAGGAUAUUUCAGUUUUUACCGAAUAUAGUUUAAUACAGAUGUAAUGUUACAUUUCGUCAGUCAAGCAUAGAGAAUAUGUCCAAUGACCUGAUCAGACAUUUAACCUUAGCUUUAUCCAAUGUUAAAGGUGUAAAAUGUCUUUGAUGAAUAACAUCCAACGGGGUGAAGUAAUUGAAAAAUCAGUUGAAAAUGGUUAAUACAUUUUACUGACAUGAAUGUUUUUUUAUGAAAUGAGGCUAUUAUAAUAAUGUGCAUUGCAGAUACAUGUAUUGCUUGUAAAAUAUCAUUUAUAGGUAGAGUUACUAAGAUUGAAAAAUAGGCCAUAAAAUAAUGACGUAAACACAUUCCUGUAUAAAAUGUUGUGCUGCUUUCCUUAAAUUAAAAUUCAAUGUUGUGUUACAAAUCCUUUCUAAAAUUAAAUAAUUCAAUAGCCUGGUAUCAUGCUUCAAUUGAGAAAGGUACAUUUGUAACUGGUUAUUACCAAUUUAUUGCUCAAUACUGUAUCACCAAUGUGACAACAAAUAUUUAUUUAUAAAUCAUAAUUUUGGUUUUCAUAGGGGUUUUAUGUCAGUUUAACAGUGAACCAUAGCUUAUAAUAUGUCCUUGUUUUGUAUUAUUUUCAUUAUUUAUUACAGGACAUUUACCCAACAGGUGGUUAGUGAUAUUCAUAAAUCUGACUUACAACAUACUGCAGAAUAUGCACAGUAUGCAAGGGAGGAUCCAGCCAUUUUUAAGGGGGUUCCCAACUCAGGAAAAAGGUUCUAACCAUAUGUCCCCCUUCAAAUGCAUUCAUUUUCAACAUUGUCUUAUUGACCCAGCGUCAAAUACUGCCUACCUUGGGCUUAAUUUCACAUCAAAAUAUAAGCACAGGAGAGUCUUAUGUCGGGGAAAGUCAAUCAGAAUUCCCAACUAUUAUAUUCCCAAUUCCUUACAUUCAUUUUGUAGCCAUUUUUAUAAGAAAGCCUUGUUCUCUAAAAUUUUACUCAAUGUAUUUUAAAAUACACAAUUGCAAGGACUUAAUAUUUAGUUCCUUGGAAAAAUGCAGUAAAAUUUCAUACAUGUCAUGAUUCAGUUUACAAUUAUUUGUUGAGGGAGAAAACUAACAAGUAUAUAUCCGGAUUCAUAGUACAUGGAUGCCCUACUCCACUAUCAUUUUCUUUGUUAAAUGGACCAUGACAAUGGGUACAAAUUCUAAUUUGGCAUUAAAAUUAGAAAGAUCAUAUCAUAAGUCCUAGGAACAUAUGUACUAAAUUUGAACUUCAUCAAAAACUAACUUGACCAAUAGUUUUAAUUAAAAAACUUUAACUGAAGCUGUACAGAUGGAAGGAUGCACAACAAAUGCACAGACCAAGUAUGCAAUAAUAGUAAUGCAUACAUACUCACUUCAAGCAUGAAACAAAAUUUCAUGAAGAUCUGAUUUGUAUUUUCCUGAGUUAAAUGCUAUAAACAUGUCAUGGGACAGACUGAGCACUCCUGGGGACAGCGGUUUAUUGUAGUAGUUUGUAUGCAGAAGAUUUUCUAAUGAAAAAAAAAGAAAGCUAGGAGAAAGGAAAGAAUGCAAAGCUUCAAACAAAUGUUAAGUGGCCUCACAAAAUAACUGAUUUGUUUGUUUUCUUCUUAGUAAACAAAAAUCAAUAAGUUUUAAACUCAUAUUUUUGUACAAUCCAAAUGUACAAUGUAAAUAAGAACCAAAUCAUGAUUUACAACAACAAUAAUAUUACAUAACAAAGAUGUGUUUAUUUCAAUGACAUCUGAAGGUCAUCAUAAACUGCAGACUAUACUUAAUUAUGACCUAAAUAAUUCCAAGCAACAAUACUGGAUCAUAUUCUCUUUAUUAAUAAUUUUCAUUGUAAUUCAAAAUAUGACCCAGUUUCAUUCACUGCGGGACUGUGUAAGUGAAUAGGAAAUAUAAACAUACAUGUACACGAACGUACAGAAAUAUGAAAAUCUGCAAAAUAUACAGAAAAACAAACAAAGAAGAGGGUGUAAAAUGGAAUUUGUUUAAAGUUUCAAGCACUAAUUGGCAGACAAUCUUUUCAAUCUGUUGAUUAUUUGUAAUCUGAUUCCACCCCUGUAUUGUUUUACCUACCAUGAAAAACUAGAUGAAAAGAUUACACUGGAAGAGGUUUGACAAAGGGGCUUUUUUAUUUAUAAGUUACUAGUCUAAUCAAUUUUGAUAUCAAAAUGAUUUAAAAUAAUAUUUUAUGCCUUUCUACAACUUAUUGUGUUUAAUAUGGAUUUAUUUUGGCUGAAGGGAGACAAUUCAAUCUUGUUUACACAACACUUGUCAGUGAAUCAUUACAUUCUAUGUGUAUCAUAUUUCAUAAUCCACAUUGCAAAUUAGACAAAAAUCAUUUCAAAUGUCAAGAUCAGUACAAAAAUCAAGUGUCUUUUAUUUCUUUCUUUAACACCAACAUCAAUAAACUAUAAAUAGGGUGCACACACUGAAAAUUCAAGCUGCUGUACUGUCCAUGUCUUAACUUUUGAGUCCACAAGCCAGAAGCUCAAUUUUAAGAAUUUUUUUGUUGGAUUCUGUUGGCCUGUAGAGAAGAAUUUUAAAGGCUCUAAAGUAGUUUUACAAGCCAAUGCUGUAGGACUUGUGGUUAUGCGCACAGACUGUGGCAUGAUGUAAUUUAUGUUAAAAUUCUUUAAUUUAAAUAACAUAAUCAUGAUAUUUAACCUAUUGCUUGUAGAUUCAAAGAAACAAACUUAACGGUAAACCAAUAACACUUCACUUCAAACCAAUGAAGAUGAAAAGAGACCAAACCGCAAAAUAUAUCAAAACAUUGACCAGUGAACUGUGAAAAUUAGGUCCAGGUCAGAUGAACCUACCAGACAAAUAUUUUCACCAUGUAAUCAUUCCAUACAGUAAAUAAAGUUGACCCCCUGCAGCUAACAGUGGAGAUAUGGAUUUUAAAACUUAACAUUGAUCACCGAUCUAUGAAGAAAUUCAAACACAUAUUUCCUAUCUUGUUUGUUUACAAUAUUGCCUUAAAUCAGGAGAUCAAAGUAUAACUAAAAAUAUUUCCAUGUUCAAGGGAAAUAACUUUUAUCAAGAGUUAAAUGCUUAUUUUGGCAUGUUAGUGUUUAGUUGGUCUUAAUUUGCUGUUCUUUUUUUUUCUGUUUACAGAUUUUCCUAAAUGUCCUAUCUGCUACAGAUUCCUCAGAAAAAAACAAAUGUGUAAAAAAUCAUAUUUCAAGGGCAAUAAUUCCUCGAUUGAGUCACCUGAUUAUAUAUUUAAAUUAAUUGACUGAUUAUAUAUUUAAAUUUUAAUUAAUAAGAACUGAAUUCAAACUUGUAUAGUCCUCAGUUUUAUUCUUCAAAAUUGAACCGGCCAGAGACGGGUUAGGUCAGAGUACAAUAAGCAAGAAAUAGGAGAUUGAUUGACUUAUUGUUGGUGUUUUAAAGCCACUUAUAAGUGCCACUAAGGGCUAUUUCUUGGCCGCCAGUUUUUAUUGGUGGAGGAAGCUAGAGUGUCAAAAGAAAACGCUUCGAUAGGAAAAUUGACAAUCCUAGUCAAUUAAGAUUAGAGUGAAGUGCACCCACACCAGCAGGAGUUUAACUUACAACCUCAGUGUUGACUUGCUAAUGAUUACAGUAGUAGAACUACUUAUUAGACUACUUGGCCACAGAGGCACAAAGAAAUGAGGAAAAUUUGAUUCAGUGAGCUCCACCAUGUUUGAUAUUGAAAUUGUAGAAAGAGCUCUUAUCAUUUUCAAAACUAAAUAAUUUUACCUUAUCCAUAUUAAUUAUUGUAGAGGAGCUAAAUUGGGUGAGCAGGUUGUGGAUGGAUGGAAAUUAGUUUGACCCAAAGUUGGUCAUCAGGUGCAAAAACCAUCAAUUUUGAUAAUUUUUCAUCCUAUUUCUUGACCUGGCAGACCAAGGGAUGGUGCAAGUUGUAUCUAACUGUAGUCUGCAUGUAGAGUGCCCAGUGAACACAUUAACAACAAUGGUUCUUAUGUUAGAGUGAAACUGGUCUAGGUAAAGCAGUCUAAAAAUGCACAAAUAACAUUAAUCCUGCAUGGUAAGGGGACAAUAACAAUCAAAACCAAGGAGUAAACAAAGACUCACAAAACCAAGACAUUUACAUCAACAGUUAUAAAUAAUAAAUAAAAACAACACUCAAAACCGGAAGUGAAAUCAGGUGCUCUGGAAGGGUAAGCAUUUCCUGCACCAUAUAUUUAGAUCUUUCAAACACUUAUGAACAUGUUUAGAUACAUGUAUGUCAACAUUCCAGCCAUACAUUGUAUGUCCCCAUUCAAAUGAAUUGAUUGUCUCAAAACUAGUAGGGGUUCCAACUCCCAGAAUCCGCCCCCUAAGUCAGCCACUUGCCAUUGAGAGCGAAUACUUUUUGACCGUCUCUGUAGAUGACCAUGGAAAUUUUUCAAUUUUCAUAGCCAUUAUCCUGUUCUUAUUUACCAACUCAAUUUGUCUUUACCAUGAUGAGCAUCAUGAAAGGUGCCAUAUGUGUGUAGCACUUCUUGUGCCCUUAGAUCAACCAAAGUUGGUAGAGAGGAUGAAUUAAGAUUAAAGAAUGAAUCUGUAUGUUGACGCAAAUCCAGGAUUUAAUGUUAAUUUGUAAUUAGAGGGGUGCUGCACCUAGUGGGUCCCAAUUUUAAUCCAAACCUGAAUUUUGAAUAUGUAUGGUUUAAAAAAUCUAAAUAUGCUUGGUCAUUGCACAAAGUACAUAUACAUAUAUAACAUUGUACAAUACACCUUAUUGCUAUUUGUCCGCCAUUAAUGGACAUCACACAGGUUUCCGUACAAUUUUUACAUCAUAUUACAAAAUAUCUGACGCCAAAAUGGAAAAGUGAUUGUUGCAUAACGUCAAUAGUUCAAGUGUGACAGACUCUCUGGUCAGUCAGGCAUAGCGAUAAGGUGUAUGUAUUCUACACCAAGUAAAUCUUAAAAACAUCAGCUUGAAAGAGCCAGGUGCUAAUGAAAAUUUGAGCAAAACAAUUCAGAGACAGUGUGCAAAACAACCAGGAUUAUUACUGCAAAAUGUACUAUUAGUAUAAUCUUGAUCUACAUAUGAUACAGAUAGGAAUACAGUGAUACAUCCAAGAGUAUUAAUACACUACAUGUAUGUGUGCAUCAAGUAAUUUACUCAAGUGGGGCCCCCUUACAAUUUCGCUAAAGGUUUUACCUUCUUUUACUGUCUGAAUCUUGAUGAAAAUAUCAUGUGGUAGUUGGUUCCAGUCUUUGAUGGUAUUUGGUAUGAAACUGUAUUCUAAAGUGUCCUAUUUUGUUUUAAGUCUAAUUAGGAAAUACCAAUGUAUACUUGAUUUUUGUAUUAGAACAUGUUAGAACAUUGGUCUCUACCUUUCACUCGAAGGAUUUAGCAAGCUACUGUAGAUCUUUAUUUUUCUGUCAAGAAAACACAAGACAUAAGAUAACUAAUUAAAUAUUCUCAAUUUUACCUGAAAUGAAGGUGUGUUUACUUUUUUAGAACCCCUAACUUCCUGCUGUGUACCUGAAGUACCCGCUUCACGAUUGUACAAAUAAAAGUGUUCACAAUGACAAACCUGUCUGAAAAGGACAUGCUCUGAAGCUGUUACAGCAUCAAGACUGUAUCGAUG